Molecule: ribosomal RNA, 422 nt
Filed under: Corralia sp. n. MZSP 73027
Lineage: Eukaryota; Metazoa; Arthropoda; Arachnida; Opiliones; Gonyleptidae
Description: partial small subunit ribosomal RNA
Source: RNAcentral
AUUAGAUACCCUAUUAUUUAAUGAAAGGUAUAUUAUUAGUAGUAUGUUUGAAAAUUAAUAAUUUUGGCGGUUAUUUUAUUUUAUUUAAAGGAGCUUGUUUUUAGAAAUGAGAAAUUGCUCUUUAUAUUUUAGUUAUUUUUUGGGUUAUUCAUCUCCGUUAUAAAAUAAAUUGGUUAUUAAAAAUAAUUUAUUUAGUAUUUCAGGUCAAGAUGUACCUUAAGUAGAUUAAGAAUUAGCUACAGUUGGUAAAAGGAAAAGGGUUUUAAAAUUUUAUUAAACUUUAAAAGGUUUGGGUAAAGGUAAUAUACUUUCUUUCUUACUUUUAUUUUUUUAUAAAAUUUAUGGGAAAAAGAUUUUAUUGAAUUUAGUUGUAAUAGUAAUUAUGAGGUUAUUAUGAAAAAGGUAGAUUAAUGUACAUAUCC